This 1675-nucleotide long non-coding RNA is filed under the name Mytilus galloprovincialis (Mediterranean mussel). The record is from RNAcentral. Lineage: Eukaryota; Metazoa; Mollusca; Bivalvia; Mytilida; Mytilidae.
CCUUCUUUAUCAUUAAUUUUGAACAAUUUGCUGCAAUACGAUUUUUUUGGUCUCCGACAUGUUUGGUGUUUAUUUGAAUGUUUUAAGGUAUUCAUAAUUUAUAAGCAAAACCUGUUCUUUCAUUUUAGAAAUUUGGUUAUCAUGUUAUUGAAGGGAAUGCCAGAUAUGUAGAAAACAUAGAGACAAAUCUAGUAGAGAAUACAGUAAAAAUUCACACCCCAGCACAUAAUGAUGUUAUGGAAUCGUACCAAAUCCAAGAUUUCCGUCAGGUUUGUAAAUGAACAACACUAUUAUCUAUGAAUGGUGAUUUUUUUUGCAGUGUGUUUUAAACUUAAUAACUAUAUCAUUUUUUUCAUUCUAUUAAGUAUUUUGUCACAUAUUUGAAAAAAAGCAAAAUACACUCUAUACGUAUCACAAAAAAUUAAAAAGUAUUUGUUAUAAUCAAAUAACUUCCUUAAGUAAAAAGUAUGUUUUCUUUACAGGGUCAACAGAUGAAAUGUCUCCCUUCCAUCGAGCAAUGUAGACUGCGGGACAUAGACAGAAAAACUGCUGGAGAUGCCGGUCAAGUUACAGAGGGAUUUAUCCACAGCUGGGUAUGAAAUAGAUGAACACUAUUCUAUAAUGUUAUAUUUGUCAGUUAAUCAAAAUCUGUUAAAAAUACAAAAAAAAAAAAGUCAGUCAUAUGCAUGGUUUUAGCCAUUCGAAAAAGUCUAUAAGAUUUUAAAAGCAUUCGAAUGUAAGUGUGCAUAAUGUUGUUCGAAAGAGGCAUUGCAUUGUGCUACGAACUCAAUAUUCUUAAACCAGUUUGUACGAAAACAUAAAUAGAUAAAGAUGUUUUUCAUUCAUUUUUGGGCGAACAGAAAGUAAUCAUUUGUAUAACUGAACACUGAUUAAACAAAUUAGCAAAGUACAGAGUCGUCACCAUCUUAAACCUACAAUGAUCAAUACAGUGGUUUCUGUUUUGUGUUUGAAACGACCGAAGAAAAAAUGGUCAUCUGUCUAGCUAUUUAUUUUUCGAUCCCGUUAUACUUAUCAUUGGCAGUAAAUCCGGAAAAGCCUUUCGAAAGCAGCAAAUUGAAAAAUAAAACAUUCUUUGUAUUAUAUACAAGAUAAAGUAGACUGAGCGUUAACAAAUAUCCUUUCUGCAACCUAACUCAUGGUUUAAAUUGAAAAUCUGUACAGAAAAAAAGCGAUUACAAACAUUGGACUAUUCAAAUAUCAACUCAAUAAAACAUUAUUUUGAAUAGAAAAAAGAUUCAGAAUUCUACAAUAACAUGAAUAAUAUUUCUUUAUUUUAAAGUGAACACGUAUACCCACACAUUGCUACCUGAUGAAAUAUAACAACCAUGUAUGUUAACAAAAAUUUACUUGUUUAAUGUCUUAUAUUCUUGUUUUCACAUUAAUAUAUAAUGUUUGUGUAUGUGUGUGUGUUUGUACGUCUGCGUUGGUAUGUUUACGUGCGAAUAAUUACUUCUUUUUUUAUAGAACAAAGGAGAUAAUACUAUAAAUAGUGACAACGAGAAAGUGGUCAAGGAAAUGUAUUAUAUCAAUUUGGAUGAGGUAGUGGAUGUCAGCUUCCUUGAAGGGGCUUUGAAAAAGUUUUAUCAGGAUUUUAAUUACCCUGUGUAUAAGGAAAAGAAGAUACCAGAAGAUGCUGAAAUGUUGAAUAUAACAC